Lentinula boryana is the source of this 87-nucleotide non-coding RNA. The record is from the annotation of a GenBank genome assembly. Lineage: Eukaryota; Fungi; Basidiomycota; Agaricomycetes; Agaricales; Omphalotaceae.
GGCUACCUGGCGCAAUGGUAGCGCGUUUGGCUUCGAUUGCUAAACAGGGUUACCAAAAGGUUGCAGGUUCGAGUCCUGCGGUGGUCA